GGUCCGGUAGCUCAGUUGGAUAGAGCAACAGCCUUCUAAGCUGUGGGUCGCGGGUUCGAAUCCCGCCCGGAUCA
RNAcentral lists this transfer RNA (74 nucleotides) under Odoribacteraceae bacterium. RNAcentral describes it as "tRNA-Arg". It matches the Rfam family "tRNA". Rfam says of the family: Transfer RNA (tRNA) molecules are approximately 80 nucleotides in length. Lineage: Bacteria; Pseudomonadati; Bacteroidota; Bacteroidia; Bacteroidales; Odoribacteraceae. The record is from RNAcentral.